Molecule: ribosomal RNA, 440 nt
Filed under: uncultured bacterium
Lineage: Bacteria
Description: partial 16S ribosomal RNA
Rfam family: Bacterial small subunit ribosomal RNA
Source: RNAcentral
CCUACGGGAGGCAGCAGUGGGGAAUAUUGCACAAUGGGGGAAACCCUGAUGCAGCGACGCCGCGUGAGUGAAGAAGUAUUUCGGUACGUAAAGCUCUAUCAGCAGGGAAGAAAAUGACGGUACCUGACUAAGAAGCCCCGGCGAACGACGUGCCAGCAGCCGCGGUAAUACGUAGGGGGCAAGCGUUAACCGGAUUGACUGGGUGGAAAGGGAGCGUAGACGGCAGCGCAAGUCUGGCGUGAAAUCCCAUGGCUUAACCAUGGAACUGCUUUGGAAACUGUGCAGCUGGAGUGCAGGAGAGGUAAGCGGACUUCCUAUUGUAGCGGUGACAUGCGUAGAUAUUAGGAGGAACACCAGUGGCGCCGGCGGCUUACUGGACUGUACCUGACGUUGAGGCUCGCAAGCGUGGGGAGCAAACAGGAUUAGAUACCCCGGUAGUC